GAAUCAUGGCUCAGGAUGAACGCUGGCGGCGUGCUUAACACAUGCAAGUCGAACGAAGCACUUUAUUUGAUUUCUUCGGAAUGAAGAUUUUGUGACUGAGUGGCGGACGGGUGAGUAACGCGUGGGUAACCUGCCUCAUACAGGGGGAUAACAGUUGGAAACGACUGCUAAUACCGCAUAAGCGCACAGGGUCGCAUGACCUGGUGUGAAAAACUCCGGUGGUAUGAGAUGGACCCGCG
Molecule: ribosomal RNA, 239 nt
Filed under: uncultured bacterium
Lineage: Bacteria
Description: partial 16S ribosomal RNA
Rfam family: Bacterial small subunit ribosomal RNA
Source: RNAcentral